GCCCUUACCUGCUGACGACCUUUCUGCCUCUUCUCCUGCAAGGGAGGGAAUCAGAACUUCAUCGUCUGAGCUCUUGGACAUGCUACUUCAGGCACCAACGACGAAGCAACAAGCACAAGGUGAGCUCCGCUCUCUGGAGCUCACCGCUUCAGAGUUGUUGAAAUUCCUCUCCAUGCAGGAGACUCCAGGCCCAAACAUUAUGACAGAUGGAACAAGCAGAAGUCAGAGUAUGCAGAACAAGUACACGAAUCAAGCUUUCCAGAGUGUCUCAAUAAAUCAAUG
Molecule: unclassified non-coding RNA, 282 nt
Filed under: Hevea brasiliensis (rubber tree)
Lineage: Eukaryota; Viridiplantae; Streptophyta; Magnoliopsida; Malpighiales; Euphorbiaceae
Source: RNAcentral